GAUGAACGCUGGCGGCGUGCCUAAUACAUGCAAGUCGAGCGAACAGACGAGGAGCUUGCUCCUCUGACGUUAGCGGCGGACGGGUGAGUCACACGUGUAUAACCUACCUAUAAGACUGGGAUAACUUCGGGAAACCGGAUCUAAUACCGGAUAAUAUAUUGAACCGCAUGGUUCAUUAGUGCAAGACGGAUUUGCUGUCACUUAUAGAUGGUUCCGCGCCGCAUUAGCUAGUUGGUAAGGUAACGGCCUACCAAGGCUACGAUGCGUAGCCGACCUGAGAGGGUGAUCGGCCACACUGGAACUGAGACACGGUCCAGACUCCUACGGGAGGCAGCAGUAGGGAAUCUUCCGCAAUGGGCGAAAGCCUGACGGAGCAACGCCGCGUGAGUGAUGAAGGUCUUCGGAUCGUAAAACUCUGUUAUUAGGGAAGAACAAAUGUGUAAGUAACUAUGCACGUCUUGACGGUACCUAAUGAGAAAGCAACGGCUAACUACGUG
Molecule: ribosomal RNA, 497 nt
Filed under: uncultured bacterium
Lineage: Bacteria
Description: partial 16S ribosomal RNA
Rfam family: Bacterial small subunit ribosomal RNA
Source: RNAcentral